Patella vulgata (common limpet) is the source of this 393-nucleotide long non-coding RNA. RefSeq lists it as uncharacterized. The record is from RefSeq and is a predicted model, not a curated record. The transcript has 4 exons. NCBI's taxonomy places the organism in Eukaryota, Metazoa, Mollusca, Gastropoda, Patellidae.
GAUAAAAACAACUUCAUAUGGUUAAGUAUCCACCACACGCAUGCCGUUAAGACCAGAAUUAAAUCUUGACGUAUCAUUUCAGUUCUUGGAAUCGUCUCAGUCUAUUUGCUGUAUGAAGUCAACGGUAAUGCGAUUCAACCAUUUACUUUUAUACCUAAUCAGCGUGAGAUAUUAAAAUGUGCCGAGGGUGAAACGACUGUAGCAUUGGCAGCGCACUGUUUUUUUUAGACUAUGUGAUCCGGGAUUGAAAUGUGUCGAAAAAUCUGAGCACCUGUGUUCACAAUAUAAACCCUGUUACAAUGGUGUAUGUAAACCACAAGAUGAUGGAGAUUUCAGGUGUAUCUGCGCAUCGUGGUACUUUGGACGUUACUGCGAAGAAGUUAUCAUUUAGCC